Molecule: long non-coding RNA, 2938 nt
Filed under: Solanum tuberosum (potato)
Lineage: Eukaryota; Viridiplantae; Streptophyta; Magnoliopsida; Solanales; Solanaceae
Description: long non-coding RNA (STUB_LNC011401)
Source: RNAcentral
GUAUCCGUCCUAUAUAUUGAUUUUCAUAUUAGUGAGUAAGUAGUACAAUGUCAUUGCAAUGAAGAAGUUGAUAAUAUUAUUGCAUAUAUGUAAGAAAGCAAAUGCAUCUGCUUUGUGUAUUACACAAAUUUCAACUUAUGCUCAUAUGAUAAUUCUCUUUUCGAACUUAAAAGGCUUCUCUAGAGAAAAUUGAGAGACAUGUUCUUCAAAUUGAUCACAAUAGCCAUGUUGCCAUUAAGAUUAGCCACCAAAAUGCUGUAGAAAACAUGACCAAGUGCCUCCACAUGAUUUUAUUGGAAUUGUUGAUUUUAAAAAUCCAAUUUAAAAACAAAACAUUGCUAUGUAAUCAUGAAAACCAAAGAAUUGAAAAAUAACAUCAAAUUUCUUUCCUUCUCUAAGUUCGUUCCUGCAAAACCAGGAAGAAAAAUAAUGUCUUACAUAAAAGAGAGGACACUUUGGCUAAAGCUCUUCAUUUACUGGACUCGGAAAAUUUGCUUACUACCAAAUUUAUUUAUCCCAAAAAUAAAAAGAAAAUACUUUUUGAUAUAGAAGCAUCAUCUAUUGACUACAAAUUUCAAGUAUUUCUUGGGAGUAACAAUGUCACACAAGUAGAUAUGAGAAUUAAGAUGGGCGUCUUCUCCUUAUCAGUUCUAAAAUAUUUCGAGUAGACUCCCUACAUGUGAUUACUUAGGUCAGAUGGUAAGUGUUGAAGCUCCUGUUAGUGUUCGCUCUUUAUCAGAGGUAUCAUGAGACAUAGAUACAAUUCUAAACCUAUUGAUAGAACAUAUAAAUUAUUACCCUGUAUUUUGUUUUUAAUAUAUAACCCGUCUCAUUUCAGCCUUCAAGUACCUUUCUUGUCCAUUUGUUUACCUCAAGUCAGUAACUCCAAAAUGGCAAGAGAACUUUUCAUUGUUAAUGAUAUCUUUGAUAGAGCAUUUUCUACUAACAGCUUGCUCAAACAUGUUGGUCACUUUCCAUGUUAAUGCAGUGAGCCUCAAGUCCAUUUCUCGUGAUUAUAGAUGCUAGAAUAACUAUAAUAUUCAGACGUUGAAGAGUCUAAAGACAUCUCGGAAGCAUUUGACAAAGAAGGGUUAUCCUCAUCCUAGAGAGAAAUCAGUAAGCAUGUUAACUUCAAGUCAUAUGUAUAAUAAGUAAUUACCGAGAAAUAAAAAAUGAUUCAGAAACAAUGAAUUACAUCAAGUGACUAAUAUGCUCUGCCUAUUAAAUUUGUAAGAUUUAAGCUCUAUCUGGUACACUAACUUUAAACUUUAAGUUACGGGACUUAGCACACAGGACCUUUGUUUGUUAUAGGGGAACCAUCUCUAUUAGUCAAGCUUGACAGUCACUACCUAACGUUUUUGGUAAAUAAAAAUUCAAUAUGUCCGAGAAUGAAAAUGAGGACAUAUUCAGCAGAAAGUUUGAAAGUUUAUUGAACCAAAAUAAAUGAUAACCCAAUUACUGCUUAAGGAUAGGGCAUACUUCAGGAAAGGUUGAGAGAAAUAGAAAACCUGAACUCCACAUGAAGUCCCAUUUCAUUAAAAUUCAUCACAUAUCAAAAGAUAGAGAUCAUGCCAAAUCAUAUUAACUUGUAUUGAUGAAUUGUUUAAGGUAAAUUUAAUAGUAGGCUAUGAUUUUAAACAUCCAAUGCAGAAAAAUACUUUAUAUAUCUGCAGAUAGACAUGAACAUAAUCUAAAGCAAAUACAUACAUAUUACAUAGAGUACAAAAGACAAUUGAUCUCGUGCUUCAAUCAUCUUAGGAAUAUCCUCAUGCUAAAGGGAAGAAAUUAUCACUAACAUGGUGCCUCCAUUAGUUGGAGGCACAAGUUAUUCCUAAGUUUAAAUAUCGAUUCAAAACUAUAAAAGAUACUUUGAACAAGAAAAAGAAAGAAGCAGUAAACCAGUGAAAGUGAAUUACCAACCUGACCAGCAAGUGAGAAUAGCAAGAUUCCCCUUGACCUCCUUGGGGAGUUGGCAGUUGAAUUCAUCAAAAGAAUAAACUGAAAACUUAAAGGAUGACAACACCUUUAAGCUUCAAUCUUCAUAUCAAUGUUUGAUGAGCUAUGAAUAACUAAGGUUGUCUAAAUCGAAAUAAACUCAACUACAUAGUAAUCGUGAAGAAAUAGAGAUUACCUUGCAAUGUAUAAGCAUAAAUCUCAUAUCAUAUUUAAGCCAACAUUCUCACCCUACCUGCAAUCAAAUCAGCCAAAUAAACCAAAAAAAGGAGUGUGUAAUCCAUAUAGUGACCCUAAAUAUCAACUCAACUAAUUAAAAUAAUAAAAUCAAAUUCGAAGAAGUGAAAUAAUUAGCUUUAAGUUGUAGAGCAUCUGUUAAAAGAUCAAAGAAUGCAUAUUAUCAAGCACUUCUCUACUGAUCUAUAUCGCAAGAUCCCAACAUUUACAAGUUAUGCUCUUCUAUAUAAUAAAAAAAAAAAGUUUUAGAUUUUUCAUUUCAGGUGAGAUCUAUAGCACAAGAUCCCAGCAUUUAUUGUGAGGUGAUCAUCGGUGUCAGGUUGUGUUUGAUGUUGUUGAUUCUCUUGGUAUUCCUAAAAUGCAAACUUUAAGUAUUGAUGGUGUUUUAGAUCAAUCCCAUUGUUCGAGGAAAUAUCUCGUUUAGUAAAUGAAGAGUCCAACCUAAUUAUAUUUAACAAUUCUUUCCUAAACUAUUACAAUGGAUCUAAUAAUUCCUUUCUCAGAAGAUGGUCAUAGCUUUCUAGAGCAAUCCUUGGUGACUUAUGUUUGUCAUAGUUAAUUUCAGAUUCUUCAAAAAAAAGAGGUAUAAUUUUUUUAAAAAAAAACAGAGAAGUAUAGGAUUUGACUUUCGUACGAUGAAACAUUUAUCCAUACUGCAUAAAGGAAGAACUGCAAUCUUUCAUUUAAGAGCAAUUCUUAGGGGUGCAGUCCUGAGUCACAAACUACUACAUUCAUAUUCACCUCAUUU